This 539-nucleotide ribosomal RNA is filed under the name uncultured bacterium. RNAcentral describes it as "bacterial SSU rRNA". It matches the Rfam family "Bacterial small subunit ribosomal RNA", at positions 355 to 895 of the family's 1533-position model. The record is from RNAcentral.
UGAGGAAUAUUGGUCAAUGGACGCAAGUCUGAACCAGCCAAGUAGCGUGCAGGAUGACGGCCCUAUGGGUUGUAAACUGCUUUUAUGUGGGAAUAAAUUGGCGCACGUGUGCGCCAUUGCAUGUACCUCAUGAAUAAGGACCGGCUAAUUCCGUGCCAGCAGCCGCGGUAAUACGGAAGGUCCGGGCGUUAUCCGGAUUUAUUGGGUUUAAAGGGAGUGUAGGCGGUCUGUUAAGCGUGUUGUGAAAUUUAGGUGCUCAACAUUUAACUUGCAGCGCGAACUGUCAGACUUGAGUACACGCAGCGCAGGCGGAAUUCAUGGUGUAGCGGUGAAAUGCUUAGAUAUCAUGAGGAACUCCGAUCGCGAAGGCAGCCUGCGGGAGUGUUACUGACGCUUAAGCUCGAAGGUGCGGGUAUCGAACAGGAUUAGAUACCCUGGUAGUCCGCACAGUAAACGAUGGAUGCCCGCCGUUGGCGCCCUGCGCCUGCGGCCAAGCGAAAGCAUUAAGCAUCCCACCUGGGGAGUACGCCGGCNACGGU